CUUCAGCGACCCCAGCCACAGCGGGUCUCGACCGUCCCGGCCCUGACCGUAGGUGGCCAGCAGGGCCUCCGCCUC
RNAcentral lists this antisense RNA (75 nucleotides) under Streptomyces incarnatus. RNAcentral's name for it is "ASpks sRNA". It matches the Rfam family "ASpks TB sRNA". Lineage: Bacteria; Bacillati; Actinomycetota; Actinomycetes; Kitasatosporales; Streptomycetaceae. The record is from RNAcentral.